RNAcentral lists this transfer RNA (63 nucleotides) under Ictidomys tridecemlineatus (thirteen-lined ground squirrel). RNAcentral's name for it is "Spermophilus tridecemlineatus (thirteen-lined ground squirrel) tRNA". It matches the Rfam family "tRNA". Rfam says of the family: Transfer RNA (tRNA) molecules are approximately 80 nucleotides in length. Lineage: Eukaryota; Metazoa; Chordata; Mammalia; Rodentia; Sciuridae. The record is from Rfam by way of RNAcentral.
GGGGAUGUAGCUCAGUUGGUAGAGUACUUGCCUACUAUUUGCAAGGCCUAGGUUCCAUCCCCA